GACCGUGUAGCUCAGUUGGCAGAGCAUUGGGCUAGUAUUCCAAAGGUCGUAGGUUCGAUUCCCACCGUGGACA
Non-coding RNA from Paramuricea clavata, 73 nucleotides. Lineage: Eukaryota; Metazoa; Cnidaria; Anthozoa; Malacalcyonacea; Plexauridae. The record is from the annotation of a GenBank genome assembly.